RNAcentral lists this ribosomal RNA (467 nucleotides) under uncultured bacterium. RNAcentral describes it as "bacterial SSU rRNA". It matches the Rfam family "Bacterial small subunit ribosomal RNA", at positions 335 to 791 of the family's 1533-position model. The record is from RNAcentral.
ACUCCUACGGGAGGCAGCAGUGGGGAAUAUUGCACAAUGGGCGCAAGCCUGAUGCAGCCAUGCCGCGUGUGUGAAGAAGGCCUUCGGGUUGUAAAGCACUUUCAGUUGUGAGGAAGGUGGUGUCGUUAAUAGCGGCAUCAUUUGACGUUAGCAACAGAAGAAGCACCGGCUAACUCCGUGCCAGCAGCCGCGGUAAUACGGAGGGUGCGAGCGUUAAUCGGAAUUACUGGGCGUAAAGCGCAUGCAGGUGGUUUGUUAAGUCAGAUGUGAAAGCCCGGGGGCUCAACCUCGGAACUGCAUUUGAAACUGGCAGAACUAGAGUACUGUAGAGGGGGGUAGAAUUUCAGGUGUAGCGGUGAAAUGCGUAGAGAUCUGAAGGAAUACCGGUGGCGAAGGCGGCCCCCUGGACAGAUACUGACACUCAGAUGCGAAAGCGUAGGGGAGCAAACAGGAUUAGAUACCCUGGU